Molecule: ribosomal RNA, 498 nt
Filed under: uncultured bacterium
Lineage: Bacteria
Description: partial 16S ribosomal RNA
Rfam family: Bacterial small subunit ribosomal RNA
Source: RNAcentral
AUUGAACGCUGGCGGCAUGCCUUACACAUGCAAGUCGAACGGUAACAGGUCUUCGGAUGCUGACGAGUGGCGAACGGGUGAGUAAUACAUCGGAACGUGCCCAGUAGUGGGGGAUAACUACUCGAAAGAGUGGCUAAUACCGCAUGAGGUCUACGGAUGAGAGCAGGGGAUCGCAGGACCUUGUGCUACUAGAGCGGCCGAUGGCAGAUUAGGUAGUUGGUGGGAUAAAAGCUUACCAAGCCGACGAUCUGGAGCUGGUCUGAGAGGACGAUCAGCCACACUGGGACUGGGAAACGGCCCAGACUCCUACGGGAGGCAGCAGUGGGGAAUUUUGGACAAUGGGCGCAAGCCUGAUCCAGCAACGCCGCGUGCAGGAUGAAGGCCUUCGGGUUGUAAACUGCUUUUGUACGGAACGAAAAGCCCCGGGUUAAUACCCUGGGGUCAUGACGGUACCGUAAGAAUAAGCACCGGCUAACUACGUGCCAGCAUCCGCCGCAG